Molecule: long non-coding RNA, 358 nt
Filed under: Salmo salar (Atlantic salmon)
Lineage: Eukaryota; Metazoa; Chordata; Actinopteri; Salmoniformes; Salmonidae
Description: lncRNA (ENSSSAG00000109996.1)
Source: RNAcentral
AACAAACAGAUCCAGACAGGGAGGGACAACAAACAGAUCCAGACAGGGAGGGACAACAAACAGAUCCAGACAGGGAGGGACAACAAACAGAUCCAGACAGGGAGGGACAACAAACAGAUCCAGAGAGGGAGGUAGAACAAACAGAUCCAGAGAGGGAGGUAGAACAAACAGAUCCAGACAGGGAGGGACAACAAACAGAUCCAGACAGGGAGGGACAACAAACAGAUCCAGACAGGGAGGGACAACAAACAGAUCCAGACAGAGAGGGACAACAAACAGAUCCAGACAGGGAGGGACAACAAACAGAUCCAGACAGAGAGGGACAACAAACAGAUCCAGACAGGGAGGGACAACAAAC